Molecule: ribosomal RNA, 403 nt
Filed under: uncultured bacterium
Lineage: Bacteria
Description: partial 16S ribosomal RNA
Rfam family: Bacterial small subunit ribosomal RNA
Source: RNAcentral
AUUGAACGCUGGCGGCAGGCCUAACACAUGCAAGUCGAGCGAGCGGCGGACGGGUGAGUAAUGUAUGGGGACUGCCCGAUAGAGGGGGAUCACUACUGGGAACGGUGACUAAUACCGCAUACUAUAGGAUGGCCCAUAUGGGAUUAGCUAGUGGGUGGGGUAAAGGCGCACCUAGGCGACGAUCUCGACCUGGUCUGAGAGGAUGAUCAGCCACACUGGGACUGAGACACGGCCCAGACUCCUACGGAGGCAGCAGUGGGGAAUAUUGGACAAUGGGCGCAAGCCUGAUGCAGCCAUGCCGCGUGUAUGAAGAAGGCCUUAGGGUUGUAAAGUACUUUCAGCGGGGAGGCGUUACCAGCAGAAGAAGCACCGGCUAACUCCGUGCCAGCAGCCGCGGUAAUUC